This 528-nucleotide ribosomal RNA is filed under the name uncultured bacterium. RNAcentral's name for it is "bacterial SSU rRNA". It matches the Rfam family "Bacterial small subunit ribosomal RNA", at positions 355 to 874 of the family's 1533-position model. The record is from RNAcentral.
UAGGGAAUCUUCCGCAAUGGACGAAAGUCUGACGGAGCAACGCCGCGUGAGUGAUGAAGGUUUUCGGAUCGUAAAGCUCUGUUGUUAGGGAAGAACAAGUACCGUUCGAAUAGGGCGGUACCUUGACGGUACCUAACCAGAAAGCCACGGCUAACUACGUGCCAGCAGCCGCGGUAAUACGUAGGUGGCAAGCGUUGUCCGGAAUUAUUGGGCGUAAAGGGCUCGCAGGCGGUUUCUUAAGUCUGAUGUGAAAGCCCCCGGCUCAACCGGGGAGGGUCAUUGGAAACUGGGGAACUUGAGUGCAGAAGAGGAGAGUGGAAUUCCACGUGUAGCGGUGAAAUGCGUAGAGAUGUGGAGGAACACCAGUGGCGAAGGCGACUCUCUGGUCUGUAACUGACGCUGAGGAGCGAAAGCGUGGGGAGCGAACAGGAUUAGAUACCCUGGUAGUCCACGCCGUAAACGAUGAGUGCUAAGUGUUAGGGGUUUCCGCCCCUUAGUGCUGCAGCUAACGCAUUAAGCACUCCGCCU